This is a long non-coding RNA of Sycon ciliatum, 1294 nucleotides long. RefSeq lists it as uncharacterized. NCBI's taxonomy places the organism in Eukaryota, Metazoa, Porifera, Calcarea, Leucosolenida, Sycettidae. The transcript has 2 exons. The record is from RefSeq and is a predicted model, not a curated record.
GAGAGAGAGAGAAUACGAUGUAUCUGUGAUACUACGUGCGGGUUACUGAACUGCACGGGGAGGGAGAGCAGAGCAAUCAGCAGCAACUCGAACUACUCUCAAGUCAAGAGGUUACACUAGAAGUAGUAUAGUGUCGUACGAUCGACCUUGCACGGUCAACAAAAGUAAUGGUUUGAGUAGUCUACCUCCGAUCCGAGCUGCUCCUUUUUCUCGUCGAGGUUAGUCAGUGGUCACCUGUCUAGACGUCUCUUGUCCGUGAUCACUGGGAAUUAUGACGCAGCGUGGUAGCAAAGGCAGCGCUGGCGACCGCCGAUCCGGUGGAAGCAGCAGUCAGGGGGCAGGAUCUGCUUUCCAAGCGGGAUCGAAUCGCGCUGGCGUGGCGGAGCCGUCGCCCCGUGGCAAGCGCAGGCUAAGUUUGAUACUGGUGGUGAUCGUGGUGGUGAUCGGUGCUGCUCUGUGGCGCUGGUCGCUGCUGGGUAAAACCAUUAUGCAAGACGACAGCACCAUCGACGUGCCGCAAGACCAGCGAGCAGCAGGCGCGGCGAUGCCCAUCAUCGACGAGGGUGUGCUUCCGGGUGGCUUGGACGAGGGCAAGUUCAUAGUUUCCGACUCUUCCGGAAGCAGUGUUGUCGGUGGAGGUGGUCCUGCCGCGAACCGACUGUAGUGCAGGAAGGCACCCAUUUCCCGUUACCGCUACUGCGAUAAUACGGAGAGGGCUGGUGUCCGCCACUUGUCAAGCCCAUGGCCAGCAAAACCGGUGGAACUUGGCUAGCUAAUCAUAAUGUGUACAAGAGCAUUGCUUUCGCUCUGAAAAGGUCAGCCUGAAGACUUGACCCACAAUCAGUGGCCCAAUCAGACAGACAUUGGUCCAUUUGUCUUGUUUUUGACAUCUCUCCGCCUUUCUCUUCUCCAACUUACGGUAACACCCUGUUUGUUUCUUGCGCUGCGGCAUAUAUAUGUUCCAACACAUACUUCAGCCGUGACAGCCAGUACAACCCUUGCAAUGGUUGAACUUGCCAUCCAACAGUACUAUGUGAAUGUGCCGCAGUAUGUAAACGUACAUACAUGGCGCAUUUGAUUUGUCUCCUCUGACACCUAAUAUUAUUAUCACCAAGUUUUCGUAACUCAAACUUAGUGAAAAGUUGGUGUACAAAGUCAAGCAUGUGUUUCACACUAUGAUGAAUGAUGAGAGCUUACAAGAUGUCUGCCUCAUCGAGCCCAAUGAGAUUCCGGCUUCUAUGCUGGGUAUGUAACUCCCUGUCACACGCUGUGACCCGGCAAGACUCUCCAUGUG